This 1003-nucleotide ribosomal RNA is filed under the name Platophryidae sp. Plsp1. Its description in RNAcentral is "SSU rRNA". It matches the Rfam family "Bacterial small subunit ribosomal RNA", at positions 524 to 1488 of the family's 1533-position model. The record is from RNAcentral. Lineage: Eukaryota; Ciliophora; Colpodea; Cyrtolophosidida; Platyophryidae.
CACAUGAGCGGCGAGCAUUAUCCGCAAUUAUUGGGCGUAUAGGAUACGUAGAUGUAUUAUGUAGUCUAGCUUUACUAAACAAGUUUAUUUAGUAUUUAUAGAAACCAUAAUAUAGAGUUAAAAAGAAGUUUACGUUACCCACAAAUGAGCGAUAAAAUGCAACUAUUUUGGGGAGGACACCAAAAGCGAAGGCAGUUUGCUAUUUUUAACUGACAUUGAGGUAUUAAAGUGCAGGGAUCAAGUAGGAUUAGAGACCCUAUUAGUCUGCACCCUAAACUAUGAGCAUAAAAUCUUUAUAAUUGUUUAAGGAUUUAAGUUAACGCGCAAAUGCUCCGCCUGGGAAGUACAACAUCAAUGUUGAAACUUAACAGAAUUGGCGGGAAUUUAAUUUAACGGUGGAACAUGUGGUUUAAUUCGAUAAUCCGCGAAAAACCUUACCGAUAUCGUUAUAAAUCUAAUAUUUUUUAAUAAAAAAAAAAUUUAGACAUAUACGCGGUGUUGCAUGGCUGUCGUCAGUUCGUGUUGUGAGAUGUAAAAUUAACUUUUUUAACGGACGCAACCCCAGGUAUUUGUUUUAUUUAAAAUUUAUUUAAGCUGCGUAUUUAGCUUAUAUAAUUAAAUUACUAAUACACAAUGAAUAUAUUUAUAUUUAUUAAGGUUGGGCUGAAGUCAAGUCCUUAUGGCCUCCAUAUAUCGGGCUACACACGUGUUACAAUGGUAGAGACAAAGUGUUACUAUAAUUAAAUUUGGAGUAAAUCACUAAAAUCUAUCCCAGUUCGGAUUGUUUUCUGCAAGCUGAAAGCAUGAAGUUGAAAUCGUUAGUAAUCGUAGAUUAGUACGCUACGGUGAAUUAAAAAUUAAAUUCUGCACACACCGCCCAUCACGCUCGAAAAGUUGGGAAGACAGAAAAUAUUGCUUACUAAGUCAUGAAUAUGUUCAUGUUUAUCUGUAAACUCGAUGUAUUGUGAUAUUGAAACUCUUGCUAGCAAUUUGAGUGAAGUUG